Molecule: transfer RNA, 93 nt
Filed under: Pseudomonas sp. St316
Lineage: Bacteria; Pseudomonadati; Pseudomonadota; Gammaproteobacteria; Pseudomonadales; Pseudomonadaceae
Description: tRNA-Asp
Source: RNAcentral
CACGGCUUUAGCUUAUGGAAGCUGUUGCGUUAUCUGCGUGAAGAAUUCCUGGUGGUGCUGGGGACGUCAUCGACCGAACCGGUGAUGCCGCGG